GCACAUGUCAUACUUUUAAUAUUUCAAUCAUCAUGCAACAAAUUUCCUCUUUUAGCAGCCUACCAGUAUCCAUGGGGAUCCAUAGGAGUCCCCGCUACACGUGAACCAUUCACCUUAAUAACUUAACUCCAGGGCCGUUCCCAUACCCCGUCCGGUAUAGGCACCAAAAUCAUAAACCUCAAUACUCCGUCCGGUAUGAGGGUGAAGCGGGCCGUCCCCAUACCCCGUCCGGUAUGAGCGCCAAAACAUUUAAAGUCUCCAUACCCCGUCCGGUAUGAGAGACAACAUUUCUGGUAGGGUUCCCUAUGGACCCGGUCCGUCCACCAUCUCCCCGGAUAUCUAGUGAGGCUGUCGACUUAUCCAUUUAUCAAUUCACAUACAUUUUCUAUUCUUUUCUUAGUUUUCUGUUUCU
This 412-nucleotide long non-coding RNA is filed under the name Carica papaya (papaya). RNAcentral describes it as "long non-coding RNA (CPAP_LNC009350)". The record is from RNAcentral. Lineage: Eukaryota; Viridiplantae; Streptophyta; Magnoliopsida; Brassicales; Caricaceae.